GACGAACGCUGGCGGCGUGCUUAACACAUGCAAGUCGAACGGAAAGGCCCUGCAUUUGUGGGAUGCUCGAGUGGCGAACGGGUGAGUAACGCGUGAGUAACCUGCCCUUGACUUUGGGAUAACUUCAGGAAACUGGGGCUAAUACCGGAUAGGAGCUCCUGCUGCAUGGUGGGUGAGGGAAAGUUUCGGCGGUUGGGGAUGGACUCGCGGCUUAUCAGCUUGUUGGUGGGGUAGUGGCUUACCAAGGCUUGGACGGGUAGCCGGCCUGAGAGGGUGACCGGCCACAUUGGGACUGAGAUACGGCCCAGACUGCUACGGGAGGCAGCAGUGGGGGAUAUUGCACAAUGGGCGGAAGCCUGAAGCAGCGACGCCGCGUGCGGGAUGACUGCCUUCGGGGUGUAAACCGCUUUCGCCUGUGACGAAGCGUGAGUGACGGUAAUGGGUAAAGAAGCACCGGCUAACUACGUG
Molecule: ribosomal RNA, 468 nt
Filed under: uncultured bacterium
Lineage: Bacteria
Description: partial 16S ribosomal RNA
Rfam family: Bacterial small subunit ribosomal RNA
Source: RNAcentral